RNAcentral lists this ribosomal RNA (377 nucleotides) under uncultured eukaryote. RNAcentral's name for it is "partial 18S ribosomal RNA". It matches the Rfam family "Eukaryotic small subunit ribosomal RNA", at positions 592 to 976 of the family's 1831-position model. The record is from RNAcentral.
CAAUAGCGUAUAUUAAAGUUGUUGCAGUUAAAAAGCUCGUAGUUGGAUUUCGGGGCAGCCUGGCUGGUCCGCCGCAAGGCGAGUACUGGUCAGCCGCCCUUCCUCUCGAAAACCCCGACUGCUCUUCGUUGCAGUGGUCGGGUAGUUCGGGACGUUUACUUUGAAAAAAUUAGAGUGUUCAAGGCAGGCCUACGCCUGAAUACAUUAGCAUGGAAUAAUGGAAGAGGACCUCGGUCCUAUUUUGUUGGUUUCCAGGGCCGAAGUAAUGAUUAAGAGGGACAGUUGGGGGCAUUCGUAUUUAAUUGUCAGAGGUGAAAUUCUCGGAUUUAUGAAAGACGAACAACUGCGAAAGCAUUUGCCAAGGAUGUUUUCAUUAA